This 493-nucleotide ribosomal RNA is filed under the name uncultured bacterium. RNAcentral describes it as "partial 16S ribosomal RNA". It matches the Rfam family "Bacterial small subunit ribosomal RNA", at positions 29 to 507 of the family's 1533-position model. The record is from RNAcentral.
ACGAACGCUGGCGGCGUGCUUAACCCAUGCAAGUCGAACGGUGAAGCGCCUUCCUUUUUGGUGGGUGUGGAUGAGUGGCGAACGGGUGAGUAACACGUGAGUAACCUGCCCCCUUCUUCUGGAUAACCGCAUGAAAGUGUGGCUAAUACGGGAUAUUCUGGGUCUGUCGCAUGAUGGGUCUGGGAAAGAUAUUGUUUCGGUGGGGGAUGGGCUCGCGGCCUAUCAGCUUGUUGGUGGGGUGAUGGCCUACCAAGGCGGUGACGGGUAGCCGGCCUGAGAGGGUGGGCGGUCACACUGGGACUGAGACACGGCCCAGACUCCUACGGGAGGCAGCAGUGGGGAAUAUUGCACAAUGGGCGCAAGCCUGAUGCAGCGACGCCGCGUGAGGGAUGGAGGCCCGCGGGUUGUGAACCUCUUUCGCCAGUGAAGCAGGCCUGCCUCGUUUGUGGGUGGGUUGACGGUAGCUGGAUAAGAAGCGCCGGCUAACUACGUG